This 434-nucleotide ribosomal RNA is filed under the name uncultured Oscillospiraceae bacterium. RNAcentral describes it as "bacterial SSU rRNA". It matches the Rfam family "Bacterial small subunit ribosomal RNA", at positions 341 to 792 of the family's 1533-position model. The record is from RNAcentral. Lineage: Bacteria; Bacillati; Bacillota; Clostridia; Eubacteriales; Oscillospiraceae.
ACGGGAGGCAGCAGUGGGGAAUAUUGGGCAAUGGGCGAAAGCCUGACCCAGCGACGCCGCGUGAAGGAAGACGGUCUUCGGAUUGUAAACUUCUUUUAUAAGGGACGAUAGUGACGGUACCUUAUGAAUAAGCCACGGCUAACUACGUGCCAGCAGCCGCGGUAAUACGUAGGUGGCGAGCGUUAUCCGGAUUUACUGGGUGUAAAGGGUGUGUAGGCGGGACUGCAAGUCAGAUGUGAAAACUAUGGGCUCAACUCAUAGCCUGCAUUUGAAACUGUGGUUCUUGAGGGUCGGAGAGGUAACUGGAAUUCCUGGUGUAGCGGUGAAAUGCGUAGAUAUCAGGAGGAACACCGGUGGCGAAGGCGGGUUACUGGACGAUUACUGACGCUGAGACACGAAAGCGUGGGUAGCAAACAGGAUUAGAUACCCUGGUA